AUAAUCUGGCACCUUCGGUGUCCGAGUUGUAAUCUCUAGAAGUGUUUUCCGCGUUGGACCGCAACAAGUCUGUUGGAAUACAGCGGCAUAGUGGUGAGACCCCCGUAUAUGGUGCGGACGCCCAACGCUUUGUGAUACACUUUCGAAGAGUCGAGUUGUUUGGGAAUGCAGCUCAAAUUGGGUGGUAAAUUCCAUCUAAAGCUAAAUAUUGGCGAGAGACCGAUAGCGAACAAGUACCGUGAGGGAAAGAUGAAAAGCACUUUGGAAAGAGAGUUAACAGUACGUGAAAUUGUUGGAAGGGAAACGCUUGAAGUCAGACUUGCUUGCCGAGCAAUCGGUUUGCAGGCCAGCAUCAGUUUUCCGGGGUGGAUAAUGGUAGAGAGAAGGUAGCAGUUUCGGCUGUGUUAUAGCUCUCUGCUGGAUACACCUUGGGGGACUGAGGAACGCAGUGUGCCUUACGGCGGAUUUCUCGAGAUCUUCACACUUAGGAUGCUGGUGGAAUGGCUUUAAACGACCCGUCUUGAAACACG
This 530-nucleotide ribosomal RNA is filed under the name Rhodotorula taiwanensis. Its description in RNAcentral is "LSU rRNA". It matches the Rfam family "Eukaryotic large subunit ribosomal RNA", at positions 117 to 663 of the family's 3401-position model. Lineage: Eukaryota; Fungi; Basidiomycota; Microbotryomycetes; Sporidiobolales; Sporidiobolaceae. The record is from RNAcentral.